AAACGGCCCGUACCGUAAACCGACACAGGUAGUCGAGGAGAGUAUCCUAAGGUGUGCGAGAGAACUCUCGUUAAGGAACUCGGCAAAAUGACCCCGUAACUUCGGGAGAAGGGGUGCUGUUCGCAAGAACAGCCGCAGUGAAUAGGCCCAAGCGACUGUUUAUCAAAAACACAGGUCUCUGCAAAAUCGAAAGAUGAAGUAUAGGGGCUGACGCCUGCCCGGUGCUGGAAGGUUAAGAGGAGUGCUUAGCGCAAGCGAAGGUACGAAUUGAAGCCCCAGUAAACGGCGGCCGUAACAAUAACGGUCCUAAGGUAGCGAAAUUCCUUGUCGGGUAAGUUCCGACCCGCACGAAAGGCGUAACGAUUUGGGCACUGUCUCAACGAGAGACUCGGUGAAAUUUUAGUACCUGUGAAGAUGCAGGUUACCCGCGACAGGACGGAAAGACCCCAUGGAGCUUUACUGUAAUUUGAUAUUGAGUGUCUGUACCGCAUGUACAGGAUAGGUAGGAGCCGUAGAGAUCGGGACGCUAGUUUCGAUGGAGGCAAUGGUGGGAUACUACCCUUGCGUUAUGGCCACUCUAACCCGCAUCACUAAUCGUGAUGGGAGACAGUGUCAGAUGGGCAGUUUGACUGGGGCGGUCGCCUCCUAAAAGGUAACGGAGGCGCCCAAAGGUUCCCUCAGAAUGGUUGGAAAUCAUUCGUAGAGUGCAAAGGCAAAAGGGAGCUUGACUGCGAGAGCUACAACUCGAGCAGGGACGAAAGUCGGGCUUAGUGAUCCGGUGGUUCCGCAUGGAAGGGCCAUCGCUCAACGGAUAAAAGCUACCCUGGGGAUAACAGGCUUAUCUCCCCCAAGAGUCCACAUCGACGGGGAGGUUUGGCACCUCGAUGUCGGCUCGUCGCAUCCUGGGGCUGUAGUCGGUCCCAAGGGUUGGGCUGUUCGCCCAUUAAAGCGGCACGCGAGCUGGGUUCAGAACGUCGUGAGACAGUUCGGUCCCUAUCCGUCGCGGGCGUUGGAAAUUUGAGAGGAGCUGUCCUUAGUACGAGAGGACCGGGAUGGACUUACCGCUGGUGUACCAGUUGUCUCGCCAGAGGCAUCGCUGGGUAGCUAUGUAGGGAAGGGAUAAACGCUGAAAGCAUCUAAGUGUGAAGCCCACCUCAAGAUGAGAUUUCCCAUUUCUUUAAGAAAGUAAGAUCCCUGAGAGAUGAUCAGGUAGAUAGGUCAGGAGUGGAAGUGCAGCGAUGUACGGAGCGGACUGAUACUAAUCGAUCGAGGACUUAAUC
RNAcentral lists this ribosomal RNA (1280 nucleotides) under metagenome. Its description in RNAcentral is "bacterial LSU rRNA". It matches the Rfam family "Bacterial large subunit ribosomal RNA", at positions 1635 to 2925 of the family's 2925-position model. The record is from RNAcentral.